UCUCCGUAGGUGAACCUGCGGAGGGAUCAUUACAAGUGACCCCGGUCUUACCACCGGGAUGUUCAUAACCCUUUGUUGUCCGACUCUGUUGCCUCCGGGGCGACCCUGCCUUCGGGCGGGGGCUCGGGGUGGACACUUCAAACUCUUGCGUAACUUUGCAGUCUGAGUAAACUUAAUUAAUAAAUUAAAACUUUUAACAACGGAUCUCUUGGUUCUG
This 217-nucleotide unclassified non-coding RNA is filed under the name plant metagenome. RNAcentral's name for it is "partial contains small subunit ribosomal RNA, internal transcribed spacer 1, and 5.8S ribosomal RNA". The record is from RNAcentral.